RNAcentral lists this ribosomal RNA (478 nucleotides) under uncultured Bacteroidota bacterium. RNAcentral's name for it is "bacterial SSU rRNA". It matches the Rfam family "Bacterial small subunit ribosomal RNA", at positions 416 to 896 of the family's 1533-position model. Lineage: Bacteria; Pseudomonadati; Bacteroidota. The record is from RNAcentral.
UUCUGGGUUGUAAACUGCUUUGUCAGGGGAUAAAAUUUCCUUGCGAGGAAAAUUGAAGGUACCUGGCGAAUAAGCCACGGCUAACUACGUGCCAGCAGCCGCGGUAAUACGUAGGUGGCGAAGCGUUGUCCGGAUUUAUUGGGUUUAAAGGGUGCGUAGGCGGCCUAUUAAGUCAGUAGUGAAAUAUCACAGCUCAACUGUGAGGGUGCUAUUGAUACUGAUGGGCUUGAGUACAGAUGAGGUAGGCGGAAUUGACGGUGUAGCGGUGAAAUGCAUAGAUAUCGUCAAGAACACCGAUAGCGAAGGCAGCUUACUAAGUUGUAACUGACGCUGAUGCACGAAAGUGUGGGGAUCAAACAGGAUUAGAUACCCUGGUAGUCCACACUGUAAACGUUGAUAACUCGCUGUGUGCGAUAUACAGUACGCGGCCAAGCGAAAGCGAUAAGUUAUCCACCUGGGGAGUACGCCGGCAACGGUG